GAAUUUUGUCAUUAACUUCAUUCACCAAUGAAAUCAUAACCUCCUCUUGCCCCCUGGUUAUAUCUGUAACAACACACGAACCUGUUUCAUCUUGAGUUGAUUCACACAGAGGUACUGGACUUUGAAAAGUAACAUGGUCAAGAAUAUUCUGAUCAAUCUCUGGAGCACUACCACAGUUCUCCACAGAUGCUAUUUGAUCAGUUGAGGCGCUGUUGUUGUGACUAUUACAAGGAUGGAGCUGUGGUUUCUCGGGUUGAGCCUCCCCUGCAUCAAGUUCUAAAUUUUUAGAUCCGCACAGAGCCACUGGACUCUCAGACAUAAGAUGUUCAAGUAUAUUCUGAUCGAUCUCUGGAACACUGCCACAAUUCCUCACUGACGUUGUUUGAUCAGUUUGGGCGCUAUUGGUGUGACCAUUACAAGGAAGGGGUAGCUGUGAUUUCUCUGGUUGAUCCUCCCCAGAAU
RNAcentral lists this unclassified non-coding RNA (462 nucleotides) under Hevea brasiliensis (rubber tree). The record is from RNAcentral. Lineage: Eukaryota; Viridiplantae; Streptophyta; Magnoliopsida; Malpighiales; Euphorbiaceae.